GUCUACGGCCAUGACACCCUGAACCAGCCGGAUCCCGUCUGAUCUCAGAAGCUAAGCAGGGUCGGGCCUGGUUAGUACUUGGAUGGGAGACCACCUAGGAAGACCAGGUGCUGUAGGCA
RNAcentral lists this ribosomal RNA (119 nucleotides) under Pteropus alecto (black flying fox). Lineage: Eukaryota; Metazoa; Chordata; Mammalia; Chiroptera; Pteropodidae. The record is from RNAcentral.